Molecule: ribosomal RNA, 466 nt
Filed under: uncultured bacterium
Lineage: Bacteria
Description: partial 16S ribosomal RNA
Rfam family: Bacterial small subunit ribosomal RNA
Source: RNAcentral
GAUGAACGCUGGCGGCGUGCUUAACACAUGCAAGUCGAACGGAAAGGCCCAAGCUUGCUUGGGUACUCGAGUGGCGAACGGGUGAGUAACACGUGGGUGAUCUGCCCUGCACUUCGGGAUAAGCCUGGGAAACUGGGUCUAAUACCGGAUAGGACCACAUUUUGGAUGGUGUGGUGGAAAGUUUUUCGGUGUGGGAUGAGCUCGCGGCCUAUCAGCUUGUUGGUGGGGUAAUGGCCUACCAAGGCGUCGACGGGUAGCCGGCCUGAGAGGGUGUACGUCCACAUUGGGACUGAGAUACGGCCCAGACUCCUACGGGAGGCAGCAGUGGGGAAUAUUGCACAAUGGGCGCAAGCCUGAUGCAGCGACGCCACGUGGGGGAUGACGGCCUUCGGGUUGUAAACUCCUUUCGCUAGGGACGAAGCGUUAUGUGACGGUACCUGGAGAAGAAGCACCGGCUAACUACGUG